Molecule: ribosomal RNA, 519 nt
Filed under: uncultured Glomus
Lineage: Eukaryota; Fungi; Glomeromycota; Glomeromycetes; Glomerales; Glomeraceae
Description: SSU rRNA
Rfam family: Eukaryotic small subunit ribosomal RNA
Source: RNAcentral
AGCAGCCGCGGUAAUUCCAGCUCCAAUAGCGUAUAUUAAAGUUGUUGCAGUUAAAAAGCUCGUAGUUGAAUUUCGGGGUUAGUAAGUUGGUCAUGCCUCCGGUAUGUACUGGCUUUACUGAUUCCUCCUUCUUGAUGAACUGUAAUGUCAUUAAUUUGGUGUUGCAGGGAAUCGGGACUGUUACUUUGAAAAAUUAGAGUGUUUAAAGCAGGCAUACGCUUGAAUACAUUAGCAUGGAAUAAUGAAAUAGGACGUUUGAUCCUAUUUUGUUGGUUUCUAGGAUUGACGUAAUGAUUAAUAGGGAUAGUUGGGGGCAUUAGUAUUCAAUUGUCAGAGGUGAAAUUCUUGGAUUUAUUGAAGACUAACUACUGCGAAAGCAUUUGCCAAGGAUGUUUUCAUUAAUCAAGAACGAAAGUUAGGGGAUCGAAGACGAUCAGAUACCGUCGUAGUCUUAACCAUAAACUAUGCCGACUAGGGAUCGGAUGAUGUUAUUUUUAAUGACUCAUUCGGCGCCUUAAC